This 253-nucleotide ribosomal RNA is filed under the name uncultured Clostridiaceae bacterium. Its description in RNAcentral is "partial 16S ribosomal RNA". It matches the Rfam family "Bacterial small subunit ribosomal RNA", at positions 524 to 776 of the family's 1533-position model. Lineage: Bacteria; Bacillati; Bacillota; Clostridia; Eubacteriales; Clostridiaceae. The record is from RNAcentral.
UACGUAGGUGGCAAGCGUUGUCCGGAUUUACUGGGCGUAAAGGGAGCGUAGGCGGAUACUUAAGUGGGAUGUGAAAUACCCGGGCUCAACCCGGGUGCUGCAUUCCAAACUGGGUAUCUAGAGUGUGGGAGAGGAAAGUGGAAUUCCUAGUGUAGCGGUGAAAUGCGUAGAUAUUAGGAAGAACACCAGUGGCGAAGGCGACUUUCUGGACCAUAACUGACGCUGAGGCUCGAAAGCGUGGGGAGCAAACAGG